This 311-nucleotide ribosomal RNA is filed under the name uncultured soil bacterium. Its description in RNAcentral is "bacterial SSU rRNA". It matches the Rfam family "Bacterial small subunit ribosomal RNA", at positions 26 to 337 of the family's 1533-position model. The record is from RNAcentral.
AGGAUGAACGCUGGCGGCGUGCCUAACACAUGCAAGUGGAGCGACGAACCCGGACUUGUCCGGGGGCAAAGCCGCGAACGGGUGAGUAACACGUGGAUUAUCUGCCCCAAUGACCGGGACAACUCGAGGAAACUCGAGCUAAGUACCGGAUGUGCUCUUCGGGAGGAAAGGAGCUUCGGCCUCCGCAGUUGGGAUGACGUCCGCGGCGCAUUAGCUAGGUUGGGUAGGGGUAAACGCCUACCAAGGCGACGAUGCGUAGCUGGUCUGACGAGGACGAUCAGCCACACGUAGGACUGAGACACGGUCCGAAG